AACCGACACAGGUGGUCAGGUAGAGAAUACCAAGGCGCUUGAGAGAACUCGGGUGAAGGAACUAGGCAAAAUGGUGCCGUAACUUCGGGAGAAGGCACGCUGACAUGUAGGUGAAGUGAUUUACUCAUGGAGCUGAAGUCAGUCGAAGAUACCAGCUGGCUGCAACUGUUUAUUAAAAACACAGCACUGUACAAACACGAAAGUGGACGUAUACGGUGUGACGCCUGCACGGU
This 233-nucleotide ribosomal RNA is filed under the name Salmonella enterica subsp. enterica serovar Cerro. RNAcentral describes it as "partial 23S ribosomal RNA". It matches the Rfam family "Bacterial large subunit ribosomal RNA", at positions 1652 to 1867 of the family's 2925-position model. Lineage: Bacteria; Pseudomonadati; Pseudomonadota; Gammaproteobacteria; Enterobacterales; Enterobacteriaceae. The record is from RNAcentral.